GUGGUCACUAAAGCAGCACAUAUAUUAAAAUUGGAAUGAUACAGAGAAGAUUAUUAUGGCCCCUGUGCAAGGAUGACAUACAAAUUAAUGAAGUGCUCUAUAUUUUU
Molecule: small nuclear RNA, 107 nt
Filed under: Dasypus novemcinctus (nine-banded armadillo)
Lineage: Eukaryota; Metazoa; Chordata; Mammalia; Cingulata; Dasypodidae
Source: RNAcentral